AGAAUCAACGCUGGCAGCGUGCCUAACACAUGCAAGUCGCACGAGAAAGGGGCUUCGGUCCUGAGUAAAGUGGCGCACGGGUGAGUAACACGUGAAUCAUCUACCUCCGAAUGGGGAAUAACUGAGAGAAAUCUUAGCUAAUACCGCAUAAUACCUACGGGUCAAAGCAGCAAUGCGUUUGGAGAGGAGUUCGCGGUCGAUUAGUUAGUUGGCGGGGUAAUGGCCCACCAAGACGAUGAUCGAUAUCCGGCCUGAGAGGGCGCACGGACACACUGGAACUGAAACACGGUCCAGACUCCUACGGGAGGCAGCAGUGGGGAAUUUUGCGCAAUGGGGGAAACCCUGACGCAGCAACGCCGCGUGGAGGAUGAAAUAUCUUGGUAUGUAAACUCCUUUCGAUGGGGAAGAUAAUGACGGUACCCAUAGAAGAAGCCCGGCUAACUUCGCGCCAGCAGCCGC
This 459-nucleotide ribosomal RNA is filed under the name uncultured bacterium. RNAcentral's name for it is "SSU rRNA". It matches the Rfam family "Bacterial small subunit ribosomal RNA", at positions 26 to 518 of the family's 1533-position model. The record is from RNAcentral.